This 380-nucleotide ribosomal RNA is filed under the name uncultured bacterium. Its description in RNAcentral is "bacterial SSU rRNA". It matches the Rfam family "Bacterial small subunit ribosomal RNA", at positions 28 to 410 of the family's 1533-position model. The record is from RNAcentral.
AUUGAACGCUGGCGGCAUGCUUUACACAUGCAAGUCGAACGGCAGCGGGGGCUUCGGCCCGCCGGCGAGUGGCGAACGGGUGAGUAAUGCAUCGGAACGUGCCCAGUCGUGGGGGAUAACACAUCGAAAGAUGUGCUAAUACCGCAUACGUCCUGAGGGAGAAAGCGGGGGAUCUUCGGACCUCGCGCGAUUGGAGCGGCCGAUGUCGGAUUAGCUAGUUGGUGGGGUAAAAGCCCACCAAGGCGACGAUCCGUAGCGGGUCUGAGAGGAUGAUCCGCCACACUGGGACUGAGACACGGCCCAGACUCCUACGGGAGGCAGCAGUGGGGAAUUUUGGACAAUGGGGGCAACCCUGAUCCAGCCAUGCCGCGUGAGUGAAG